UGAGGAAUAUUGGACAAUGGGUGAGAGCCUGAUCCAGCCAUCCCGCGUGAAGGAUGACGAUCCUAUGGAUUGUAAACUUCUUUUGUACAGGGAUAAACCUACUCUCGUGAGGGUAGCUGAAGGUACUGUACGAAUAAGCACCGGCUAACUCCGUGCCAGCAGCCGCGGUAAUACGGAGGGUGCAAGCGUUAUCCGGAUUUAUUGGGUUUAAAGGGUCCGUAGGCGGACUUGUAAGUCAGUGGUGAAAUCUCAUAGCUUAACUAUGAAACUGCCAUUGAUACUGCAGGUCUUGAGUAAAUUUGAAGUGGCUGGAAUAAGUAGUGUAGCGGUGAAAUGCAUAGAUAUUACUUAGAACACCAAUUGCGAAGGCAGGUCACUAAGAUUUAACUGACGCUGAUGGACGAAAGCGUGGGGAGCGAACA
This 422-nucleotide ribosomal RNA is filed under the name uncultured bacterium. Its description in RNAcentral is "partial 16S ribosomal RNA". It matches the Rfam family "Bacterial small subunit ribosomal RNA", at positions 355 to 774 of the family's 1533-position model. The record is from RNAcentral.